Long non-coding RNA from Passer domesticus (house sparrow), 1883 nucleotides. RefSeq lists it as uncharacterized. NCBI's taxonomy places the organism in Eukaryota, Metazoa, Chordata, Aves, Passeriformes, Passeridae. The record is from RefSeq and is a predicted model, not a curated record. The transcript is spliced from 3 exons.
CCAGUUUACCUUAACACAACAAAACUGUUAUUCUCAAGGAAUCUAGAGCAUUCAGAAAAACAAUCUUCUUCUCCCUUAUUGAUUUACUUUUCACCUGUGGGUUUUUUGUCUAUGUAGUUUCUUUUUAGGAAAAAAAUAGCAGAGAGGAGAGUCUAAGUAGCCAUCCUUCCUCUAGGAUGAGGCUCACCUCUUCCCCUCCUGCUCAGUAUCCUGCUAUCCUUCAAAGUGAAGGAGUGGUGCCUCUGAAGUCUUUGUCAUUUAGCAGCUGUGGGAAUUGAAUUCAUUUUGCCUGGUGUCAUAGACAGCCCUUCUCAUCCCAGCAGCUACAACCCCCUAAUUGUCCGGGUCUGUUCCCACCCCAACAUGCCUGAGGAAGGGCAGCCAUCGCCACUGAGACACAGUGUGACAGUGUCACCUGAGCUGUGGGACAUCAGUGCACACCCAGGCUGUGAUCUGACUCAUUCAGGGUGUGGGAUUCAGGCUUUUGCCAUGCAGAGGUUGAAUCCUGGUUUUGGAGGGAAGGGUGACCCUUCAGGCAGAGAGAAAUGAGUUUGAGCAGUGGACUGGAGACUCAGGGAGCAGCACAAUUAAGUGACCUGGAGACUGUUGUCCCUGGCCCUUUUCCAUAAAAGCACAUAAAUAUAGUUAGACAUAUGUAAGUGGAUAAUCAUUUAAUUCCUAAAUAAUGCCAGUAGCUAGGGGGUUUCAGUGGGCAUCACUUCAGUGCAGAAAGCAACUAUCCUCUAAAUCCUGAACAAACACAGUGGGACCAAAAGUGACAGUGAGCUUUAUUGUUCAAGUCCUUGAGGGAACUUUCAGCAGCUGCUAUGUUUAGUGAGAUUGGCAUGUUGAAUUUGUUCCACAGUAUAUCCUGCAAUCUGUGGAUCCUAAAUCAAUGCACUCACCUGUCCCGAGUGAAGGGACAGUCUUCAGAUGGUCACAGGAAACUUGCAGACAAAACACAUCAGUGCUUACAGGGACUUGGAGAGAUUUUCUGGGCUGCACUUCAGAGCUGGGUCCCCACAUGCCACAAGCUGCAGGGGCAUUCAGUUGCCUCCACACAGCAGAAUCUGAAGUACAUUUUGGAGCUUGAGAGGUGCCUGAAAUGCAAUGGGUAUAAGAAGAAUUACUGAGUUCUCAGCAUUAGUCCUGACUCAGGGAAAAUAUAAGGAAAAAACAGCAAAAAGGAAUAUGACAAAGAUGACAUCUUGGCAAACUCACCAAACUUAUUAUCAUCUACAGUAAAAACCUGAAAUAUCAACCAGGCAUGUAACUUUAGGUCAUUCUAUGCUAUUUUUUCUCUUGAAUUUUAGACUGUGGCCAAAUUUUACCACUUUUUUUUCCUUUAAAAUACAUGAAUAAUGUAGUCCCUCCUAUCUUCCCACUGAGCCUGUUAAACUCCCGUUACCUGUAACACAAAUGAUAGCAGCUGUCUGCCCUGGAAAUGAGCCUGGAGGUUUUUCCAUUUGACAGAAAUACUGGUACUAGUGGUAUUGCAACUUCCCUCUCCUGAAUCAUAGUACUCUCUGCUCUUAGUCUGUUUUAUGUUAUUAAAUUCAGGUUGGUUUUGUUCUUAUUUUUCAGACCCCCAACACUGGUUCCUCAGUGGAUGGUCACUGAGAUCCCUUAAAAUACAUGGUGUCCCUGUGUGUAAUUAGUGCACUCAGCAUAAUUUUGUUUUUCUCUGGCCUUAUGUACAAGUGAGACAUUUCCCCAGUGGCUGUGGUGGUACAGUGACCUCUGGUGCUGUGCUGGUGUCCAAGGGGCACUGCUGCUGCCAUUGGAAUCACCAGCAGACACUGUGUCCUCAUUGUGCCCAGAGGGAAAGAUGCUGCUCUGAGUAACCUGUGCUCUGCUAAACCGACCACAGAAAUAUCCUAGAA